AUUUAUAUAAUAUAAUUAUUAUUUUUAACUUCCAAUUAAAAAAUCUAAUUUAAACAUUAGUAUAAAUA
This 68-nucleotide transfer RNA is filed under the name Anoplotrupes stercorosus. RNAcentral describes it as "tRNA-Gly". The record is from RNAcentral. RNAcentral also lists the same sequence under 1 other name. Lineage: Eukaryota; Metazoa; Arthropoda; Insecta; Coleoptera; Geotrupidae.